GAUGAACGCUGGCGGCGUGCCUAAUACAUGCAAGUCGAGCGAACGGACGAGAAGCUUGCUUCUCUGAUGUUAGCGGCGGACGGGUGAGUAACACGUGGAUAACCUACCUAUAAGACUGGGAUAACUUCGGGAAACCGGAUCUAGUACCGGAUAAUAUUUUGAACCGCAUGGUUCAAAAGUAAAAGACGGUCUUGCUGUCACUUAUAGAUGGAUCCGCGCUGCAUUAGCUAGUUGGUAAGGUAACGGCUUACCAAGGCAACGAUGCAUAGCCGACCUGAGAGCGUGAUCGGCCACACUGGAACUGAGACACGGUCCAGACUCCGACGGGAGGCAGCAGUAGGGAAUCUUACGGAAGGGGGGAAAGCCGGACGGAGCAACGUCGCGUGAGUGAUGAAGGUCUUCGGAUCGUAAAACUCUGUUAUUAGGGAAGAAGAAAUGUGUAAGUAACUGUGCACAUCUUGACGGUACCUAAUCAGAAAGCCACGGCUAACUACGUG
Molecule: ribosomal RNA, 497 nt
Filed under: uncultured bacterium
Lineage: Bacteria
Description: partial 16S ribosomal RNA
Rfam family: Bacterial small subunit ribosomal RNA
Source: RNAcentral